This 463-nucleotide ribosomal RNA is filed under the name Vreelandella stevensii. Its description in RNAcentral is "partial 16S ribosomal RNA". It matches the Rfam family "Bacterial small subunit ribosomal RNA", at positions 338 to 795 of the family's 1533-position model. The record is from RNAcentral. Lineage: Bacteria; Pseudomonadati; Pseudomonadota; Gammaproteobacteria; Oceanospirillales; Halomonadaceae.
CCUACGGGCGGCAGCAGUGGGGAAUAUUGGACAAUGGGCGAAAGCCUGAUCCAGCCAUGCCGCGUGUGUGAAGAAGGCCUUCGGGUUGUAAAGCACUUUCAGUGGGGAAGAAAGCCUUGGGGCUAAUACCCUCGAGGAAGGACAUCACCCACAGAAGAAGCACCGGCUAACUCCGUGCCAGCAGCCGCGGUAAUACGGAGGGUGCGAGCGUUAAUCGGAAUUACUGGGCGUAAAGCGCGCGUAGGCGGUCUGAUAAGCCGGUUGUGAAAGCCCCGGGCUCAACCUGGGAACGGCAUCCGGAACGGUAAGGCUAGAGUGCAGGAGAGGAAGGUAGAAUUCCCGGUGUAGCGGUGAAAUGCGUAGAGAUCGGGAGGAAUACCAGUGGCGAAGGCGGCCUUCUGGACUGACACUGACGCUGAGGUGCGAAAGCGUGGGUAGCAAACAGGAUUAGAUACCGUGAGUC